GAAUAAUGGUCGGGUCAACAUUUUGUCUCGUUGUUACUUAUUUGCCUGAAAACACUUCGUGUUUACAUUCAAAGGGGGCAUGAUGUAGACACCUAAUUUUGUCCCUCCCGAAGUCCAAUUUUAUCCAUUUUUAGCUUACCUUAUCACGCACCCUCACCCAUGUAAUUAUCCCUCCAUAAAAUGAGAAAAAUAACAACCCCUAACUAAUUUUAUCUUAUUAUAACAACCCCUCCCUAUUAAAUUUUAACACCUCACCUACCCCACCUAACCCCUACCCCUACAUACCCUCCCUCUCUCACGGGAUACAAAAUAA
RNAcentral lists this long non-coding RNA (313 nucleotides) under Capsicum annuum. Its description in RNAcentral is "long non-coding RNA (CANN_LNC018460)". Lineage: Eukaryota; Viridiplantae; Streptophyta; Magnoliopsida; Solanales; Solanaceae. The record is from RNAcentral.